RNAcentral lists this ribosomal RNA (415 nucleotides) under uncultured bacterium. RNAcentral's name for it is "bacterial SSU rRNA". It matches the Rfam family "Bacterial small subunit ribosomal RNA", at positions 29 to 426 of the family's 1533-position model. The record is from RNAcentral.
AACGAACGCUGGCGGUGUGUCUCAUACAUGCAAGUCGUACGCGAAUCCUGCCGCAAGGCAGGGUUUGAGUGGCAAACGGGUGCGUAACACGUAGGUAAUCUUCCUUUGAGUUGGGGAUAAGCCCUCGAAAGGGGGUCUAAUACCGAAUAACACUUCGGGCCGGCAUCGGCCUGAAAUUAAAGAUGGCCUCUGCUUGCAAGCUAUCGCUCGGAGAUGAGCCUGCGGCCGAUUAGUUAGUUGGCGGGAUAAAAGCCCACCAAGACUUCGAUCGGUAGCCGGUCUGAGAGGAUGUCCGGCCACACUGGGACUGAGAUACGGCCCAGACUCCUACGGGAGGCAGCAGUAGGGAAUAUUGCGCAAUGGCCGCAAGGCUGACGCAGCAACACCGCGUGGGGGAUGAAGGUCUUCGGAUUGU